UACGGGGGGAGCAAGCGUUGUUCGGAUUUACUGGGCGUAAAGGGCGCGUAGGCGGUAGCACAAGUCAGUUGUGAAAUCUCCGGGCUUAACUCGGAAAGGUCAACUGAUACUGUGCGACUAGAGUGCAGAAGGGGCAACUGGAAUUCUCGGUGUAGCGGUGAAAUGCGUAGAUAUCAGGAGGAACACCUGUGGUGUAGACGGCUUACUGGACCAUGACUGACGCUGAGGCACGAAAGCGUGGGGAGCAAACAGG
Molecule: ribosomal RNA, 253 nt
Filed under: uncultured bacterium
Lineage: Bacteria
Description: partial 16S ribosomal RNA
Rfam family: Bacterial small subunit ribosomal RNA
Source: RNAcentral